UGACUGCUGCCACUCAUGGACACGUUUGUGAGAGGAAAAUUGUCUGAAUGGCAGCUUGAAAAUCUUAUAGACACCUUUAAAGCUGCUAAAGAGGAGACAGCUUUGAAGGUCCUGCCAACUCUGCUUCCCCCAUCCAUCUACAGGAGAGGAGGAAAGGUCUUCAGACCCACCACAGAGGAGGCCCAGAAGUCAUUUAUUGACAUGCAGCCUGUUGGGACCAACAUGGUUGAAUAUUUAAACCAUGAGAUGACUGGAGCAUUGCUGCACAUUCUAUGCCUCAGUGAUGAGACAAGGGGGACAUCACAGACCUUUGCCAUUAUUCCAGGCCACGCCAUUGAGACUGUGUCUUUGUUGGAGGCGGUUGAUCUUUGCUUUAAAGCUUUUUUUGUUUUUGAUGUUCAGUACACCAAGCAGUGUCUCCCCACCUGGGAGUUUCUCCAGCAUGCUGUAUAUCAAAUUGAAGGAAAAGAGUCCUCCUCUGUAAAGUUUUUGAGGACAACAGUGGUUUCAGGCCCACAUGAUAUGUAGAUGAUUUUAAAAUGUAUUUUGUUGCUGUUCUUAAAUCAACACAUCUUAAUAAAUUAAAUUGUAAUCGUAUGAGAGUUCA
Long non-coding RNA from Cyprinus carpio (common carp), 607 nucleotides. NCBI's taxonomy places the organism in Eukaryota, Metazoa, Chordata, Actinopteri, Cypriniformes, Cyprinidae. The record is from Ensembl.